RNAcentral lists this transfer RNA (72 nucleotides) under Trichonephila inaurata madagascariensis. It matches the Rfam family "tRNA". From Rfam's summary of the family: Transfer RNA (tRNA) molecules are approximately 80 nucleotides in length. Lineage: Eukaryota; Metazoa; Arthropoda; Arachnida; Araneae; Nephilidae. The record is from Rfam by way of RNAcentral.
GUCCCUGUAGCGCAAUGAAUAGCGCUUUGGACCUCUAUUCCAAAAGUCGUGGGUUUGAAACCCCCGGAGAUG